RNAcentral lists this ribosomal RNA (423 nucleotides) under uncultured bacterium. RNAcentral's name for it is "bacterial SSU rRNA". It matches the Rfam family "Bacterial small subunit ribosomal RNA", at positions 355 to 775 of the family's 1533-position model. The record is from RNAcentral.
UGAGGAAUAUUGGUCAACGGGCGCAAGCCUGAACCAGCCAUCCCGCGUGCAGGAAGACGGCCCUAUGGGUUGUAAACUGCUUUUCCAGGGGGAGAAUUUUUCUGUCGUGACAGGAAUUGACGGUACCCUGGGAAUAAGCAUCGGCUAACUCCGUGCCAGCAGCCGCGGUAAUACGGAGGAUGCGAGCGUUAUCCGGAUUUAUUGGGUUUAAAGGGUGCGUAGGCGGAUUGAUAAGUCAGUGGUGAAAACCUGCAGCUUAACUGUAGACUUGCCGUUGAUACUGUCAGUCUUGAGUAUGGUCAAGGUAGGCGGAAUGUGUAAUGUAGCGGUGAAAUGCUUAGAUAUUGCACAGAACACCGAUUGCGAAGGCAGCUUACUGGGCCAUUACUGACGCUGAUGCACGAAAGCGUGGGGAUCGAACAG